UUAAAUUUAUUGGUUUUAUUUGUUCAACCAAUUUAAUAUGCGGCUAGCGUGGCUUCAAAUAAGUACUAUGACUCUCAGCGCUAUUCUAAGUGCGCAAAACUGAGUGAGCAAAACGACCAACUAUAUCUGCCUUUAAGCGUACCAAUCCAGAAGGGGUUAAACUGAGAAUUAACGCCUUGCUUGACCAAUCCCAAAUAUUUUGUGGUCAAUCAAUUGACCAAUUGUAUAAAACUGAAUGCAAUGCCGUAGAAACACUAAUUCAUAUACUUCAACAGUGCCAUAGAACUCAUGAGGUAUGUUAUUGAAAAACACAAUAAAAUAUUCUUACAUCAAGAGAGCAUUGACAAAGAAAUAUGAAAUGGCACAAGAGACUCCACUUCAAAACAUCUGACGAAAUUCAAAUCUGAUUUCGUAACCAUUAGAUACGUCAGCCUUGUUCAUUGAUACUCAGAUAGUCAAUGAAUAAAUUGCAAAGACUCCAAAAAUAAAGUGCAAAAGUACAGGCCAUUCAAAGGAGUUAUCAAGGACAGGAACAGUAUAGAGACAGUGUCACAAAUAUUUUUGACAUUUGUCACACUCUCUUAUCACGGAGUCGUCAUUGGGGAGUACCAAUGAAUUUACAAAUAAAAAAGUAUUUUAAUAAAAGGUGAACAUUUUAAAAGGUCGGACUCAAAAUUGGAACUCAAAAUUUUAAGGCACUUUGAAGGAGGUGGAACUUAAGUCAUCUUAGCGAAAAUCCUAAAAUAUGGGGAUUUACUACAUUUUGAAGAUCCAGUCGGAUAGCAUCUACCCAGAGGAGCAAUAUCGAUCGCGCAAAAAUUAGCUGAACGGAGAAACCGACAUAAGAGGGACUGUUUACUGAAGAAGUCAAGCUAGCACAUGGUUGAUGUUAUUAGAAUGUUGAAAGAGAAAUAUUCUAUUUCCGCAGCAAAGAAAGCCUGGGCAAUUUUUAGACUCCAAACCACAACUAUUACACGAAUAGCUGCUGCUUUGCUCACAGUCACAGUGGAUUUGUUGCACAGAAAUCUUGGCAGGGAACUAGUCAGCACAACUAAUAUCUUUGUAAUAUCAGUUGAUUGGCUUUGAGCAUUUAUAUCUUAUAAUAUUCCUUAUUCUGCUGCAUACUGCUAGAAAUGUGAAGUUACUUAACGGCAUCUUUACAAUUUGAGGUUAGUGAAGCGCAUAAGUUGACACGGUGCCGAGAAUGGAGAAUAGUAUUCUGCCUUCAAAAAUUCCGGAAAGGAUUAACAGAUGUGAUGAGCAACACGACAUCGAGAUACUGAAAGCACUUACAUGAACGAAUGACUUGUAUAAGAUUUCAUAAAAUUUGAUACCCUAAAACUAUGUUUUCAUUGCAUCGGCAUUUGUCUAAAUUCAUUGCGUCAAUUUCUACUGAGCGACUUUGCUACCACACCAUGGUAUAUCACCAUUUUCAGCAUUAUCAACAUAUUGAAUACAUAUGUACCUAUUUUGUAUUUUGUGGUGCAACAAAAUGUUCGAUGACGAUGAGAUGCUACUCAUUUAUAAUAAUUGCAAAAAAAAAAAAAAAUUAGGAAAUACUCGAAAAUACGAAGAUUUUGGAUGCAUUACAAUUUACGCAGCAAAAAAGUGAUUUUAUGAAAGAUUUUGAACAAUAUUAACACAUUAGCCAUGGAUGCCAGUAAAAUUACAAAAUAUAGCAUCCUUAAUAGAUCGUUUGCAAAUCAAAAAUUGGAUAUAUUUGUCAUUUUAUUCUCUAUUGUGGAAGGAGCAUCAGAAGACCAUCAUGAACUUAAUGGAUCAAUACUUAAACAAAUGAUAUCAUUUAUAUGUAGACAAUUUUUAUAAUAGUGUAAAUUUGGUUUUGAUGUUAUUAUUAAAAAAAAUAAAACUGUGGAACAAUAAAAACAAAUCGAGAAUUAUCAAACUCUUUAAAAAAAACGUGGAGAAAUGUGCUACAAGAUAUAGAAGUGUACAAAAAAUCGUAAUAUUUACAUGAUCUCAAUUAUUCAUAAUGCAAAAUUAAUAGAUUCUAAUCGACUGGAAUACGCAAUUUCUCAUCAAAAGCUGUAUAAUACAUUAUGUUACAUAAUAUAAACCAAUAUAUAAGUAGCAUCAAUCUUAUUAAUUAAUAUCUAGCAUAUAAUCCUAUUUUCAGAAAAAUUCUAAAAUGGAUGAAAAAAUUGUUUUUUUUUUAUCAUCUCUAUAGUGUCUUAUUUAAUCCAUUUCGUGUUUUUCAAAUGCUUAAUUAACAAACAAUUUCCAUAACUUUAUGCUCAAUGUAGCUCAAUCUUAGCUAGAAGAAACCUGUGAUACAGCAUAUUCCGACAUAGAAAAAUACGAAUUUGCAAGAAUUGCAAGAAACAAUAAGAAUGUCGGAAGAAGAUGUGUAUGUUAUUCAUGUAGAGAGACUGCUUAUAUAUAUGUGUAAAUAUUGUAAUUUCCUUGGUGAUUGUAUUCAAACAUAUCAUACAAAGAAAAAGUAUCAAUGUAAAUAACAUGUAUUGAUGUGACAUGAACCAAAAUAUACAAGAAUAGAGAUAUAUAAAUAUGGGUAUAUAUAAAUUAUUGUAGGAUAAGGACUUAGGAUAAGAAAAUAUAUUUAGUUUUUAGUUUUAGUUAAGAAUUAAGAAAAUAGACUAUUUAGUUUGAAUGCGAAAGGAUAUUUGAGAAAAUGAUAAAGAUUUUGAGAAAAAGGCGAGGAAGAAAGAACUAGAGUGCGAUUAGACGUAAUUAAGUCGAGUAACUAGGUCAAGUGGUUUAUAUUUAGAAAUCGAAUUCGAGACGAUAGAAAGAAUGAAUGGUUGACUAGUUUCUAAUUUUUAGUAAAUGGUUUAAAGAGAGAUGCCUGUUUUUACGAAGGAAAUGUAUGAAAGAAAGCAUGAAAGUUGAGAAAAUGAAUUAGAAGUGCAAUAUAGAGAAUAUCUUAGUGUGUUGUUAUGACGUGGACUACGCGGAUUCGAUGUUCGUUUCAGUCCGCUUUCCUUACGAACAUUUACAGGGAUAAGGGUUGAAUUUCGUAUUGAAAUUAAAUUUCGAAGCUUUUAUGAUCAAGUGAUAUAUUUGAAUAAUGGUGACGACGAUUAACUGAUUGCGAGAUUGAUUGAAAAAGAAAUUGUAUCACUGUGAUUUGAUUGUUGGCGAUGUUGUACAAAAGAAAUAAUGUUGAAUGCGUCGAUCAGUUGUUUAUAUAUGUUGUUUUUUACUUUCCUGCUUGCUCGAUUUACUGCGUGUGCGAUGUCGGGUCGAGUUCUGUUACUGAGAUAUAAUAAACUGCCCACACAU
Long non-coding RNA from Frieseomelitta varia, 3264 nucleotides. RefSeq lists it as uncharacterized. Lineage: Eukaryota; Metazoa; Arthropoda; Insecta; Hymenoptera; Apidae. The record is from RefSeq and is a predicted model, not a curated record. The transcript is spliced from 3 exons.